This 370-nucleotide ribosomal RNA is filed under the name uncultured Gammaproteobacteria bacterium. RNAcentral's name for it is "bacterial SSU rRNA". It matches the Rfam family "Bacterial small subunit ribosomal RNA", at positions 57 to 442 of the family's 1533-position model. The record is from RNAcentral. Lineage: Bacteria; Pseudomonadati; Pseudomonadota; Gammaproteobacteria.
GCAAGUCGAACGAGAAAGUACCUUCGGGUGCGAGUAAAGUGGCGGACGGGUGAGUAACGCGUGGGAAUCUGCCUAGUAGUGGGGGACAACAAUCGGAAACGGUUGCUAAUACCGCAUACGCCCUACGGGGGAAAGGCUUCGGCCGCUAUUAGAUGAGCCCGCGUAAGAUUAGCUUGUUGGUGGGGUAAUGGCCUACCAAGGCAACGAUCUUUAGCUGGUCUGAGAGGACGAUCAGCCACACUGGGACUGAGACACGGCCCAGACUCCUACGGGAGGCAGCAGUGGGGAAUAUUGGACAAUGGGCGAAAGCCUGAUCCAGCAAUGCCGCGUGUGUGAAGAAGGCCUGCGGGUUGUAGAGCACUUUCAGUAG